Molecule: ribosomal RNA, 253 nt
Filed under: uncultured bacterium
Lineage: Bacteria
Description: partial 16S ribosomal RNA
Rfam family: Bacterial small subunit ribosomal RNA
Source: RNAcentral
UACGUAGGGUGCGAGCGUUAAUCGGAAUUACUGGGCGUAAAGCGUGCGCAGGCGGUGAUGUAAGACCGAUGUGAAAUCCCCGGGCUUAACCUGGGAACUGCAUUGGUGACUGCAUCGCUCGAGUAUGGCAGAGGGGGGUAGAAUUCCGCGUGUAGCAGUGAAAUGCGUAGAGAUGCGGAGGAACACCGAUGGCGAAGGCAGCCUCCUGGGAUAACACUGACGCUCAUGCACGAAAGCGUGGGGAGCAAACAGG